CAGCCGUAAACAAUGUGCGUUAGGUGUGUCGGUAACCACGCGUUACUGAUGCGCCGAAGAGAAAUCGUGAAACGCACCACCUGGGAAGUACGGACGCAAGGCUGAAACUUAAAGGAAUUGGCGGGGGAGCACCACAACAGGUGGAGCCUGCGGUUUAAUUGGAUUCAACGCCGGACAUCUCACCGGAUAAGACAGCUGAAUGAUUGUCAAUCUGAAGGUUUUACAUGACUAGCUGAGAGGAGGUGCAUGGCGUCAGUGACU
Molecule: ribosomal RNA, 261 nt
Filed under: uncultured archaeon
Lineage: Archaea
Description: partial 16S ribosomal RNA
Rfam family: Archaeal small subunit ribosomal RNA
Source: RNAcentral